This 605-nucleotide ribosomal RNA is filed under the name uncultured archaeon. RNAcentral's name for it is "bacterial SSU rRNA". It matches the Rfam family "Archaeal small subunit ribosomal RNA", at positions 316 to 921 of the family's 1478-position model. The record is from RNAcentral.
CCAGGCCCUACGGGGUGCAGCAGGCGCGAAACCUCCGCAAUGUGAGAAAUCGCGACGGGGGGACCCCAAGUGCCAUUCUUAACGGGAUGGCUUUUCAUUAGUGUAAAGAGCUUUUGGAAUAAGAGCUGGGCAAGACCGGUGCCAGCCGCCGCGGUAACACCGGCAGCUCUAGUGGUAGCAGUUUUUAUUGGGCCUAAAGCGUCCGUAGCCGGUUUAAUAGGUCUCUGGUGAAAUCCUGCAGCUUAACUGUGGGAAUUGCUGGAGAUACUAUUAGACUUGAGAUCGGGAGAGGUUAGAGGUACUCCCAGGGUAGAGGUGAAAUUCUGUAAUCCUGGGAGGACCGCCUGUUGCGAAGGCGUCUGACUGGAACGAUUCUGACGGUGAGGGACGAAAGCUAGGGGCGCGAACCGGAUUAGAUACCCGGGUAGUCCUAGCUGUAAACGAUGCGGACUUGGUGUUGGGGUGGCUUUGAGCUGUCCCAGUGCCGAAGGGAAGCUGUUAAGUCCGCCGCCUGGGAAGUACGGUCGCAAGACUGUAACUUAAAGGAAUUGGCGGGGGAGCACCACAACGCGUGGAGCCUGCGGUUUAAUUGGAGUCAACGCCGG